GUGCUCACUUCAGCAGCACAUAUACUAAAAUCAGAAGGAUACAGAGAAGAUUAGCAUGGCCCCUGCACAAGGAUGACAUGCAAAUUCCUGAAGCGAUCCAUAUUAAA
RNAcentral lists this small nuclear RNA (107 nucleotides) under Sciurus vulgaris (Eurasian red squirrel). Lineage: Eukaryota; Metazoa; Chordata; Mammalia; Rodentia; Sciuridae. The record is from RNAcentral.